UAAACUGGAGGAAGGUGGGGAUGACGUCAAGUCAUCAUGGCCCUUACGACCAGGGCUACACACGUGCUACAAUGGCGCAUACAAAGAGAAGCGACCUCGCGAGAGCAAGCGGACCUCAUAAAGUGCGUCGUAGUCCGGAUUGGAGUCUGCAACUCGACUCCAUGAAGUCGGAAUCGCUAGUAAUCGUGGAUCAGAAUGCCACGGUGAAUACGUUCCCGGGCCUU
RNAcentral lists this ribosomal RNA (224 nucleotides) under uncultured Enterobacteriaceae bacterium. Its description in RNAcentral is "partial 16S ribosomal RNA". It matches the Rfam family "Bacterial small subunit ribosomal RNA", at positions 1159 to 1382 of the family's 1533-position model. The record is from RNAcentral. Lineage: Bacteria; Pseudomonadati; Pseudomonadota; Gammaproteobacteria; Enterobacterales; Enterobacteriaceae.